This 316-nucleotide long non-coding RNA is filed under the name Populus tremula. RNAcentral describes it as "long non-coding RNA (PTRE_LNC000454)". The record is from RNAcentral. Lineage: Eukaryota; Viridiplantae; Streptophyta; Magnoliopsida; Malpighiales; Salicaceae.
CCAUGUCAAGGACAUCUGCAUUGAUGAGGGAGUACCUUUGCUGGACAAGUUCUUGUUUGACACAGAUGCACAUGAGAAGAAUGUGUGUGAAUUCUUACCUUCUGCAAGGGAUAUGAACAAUGAGAUGGUUAAAGAAAAGUCUGACCUUGAUAUGUUGAUUCCAAAUGUGCUGAAAUCUUCACCAGAAAAGCAAAAUGUGAAUAUUCAUUUGCCUGUUCCGGAUAUGCUGAAAUCUUCUGAAGAACAGGAUUUGAAAUGUGAAUUAUCCCUUGAUUGUAAUCCCAAGCAUUUAGUACCAACAGAGGAAGUUAUGGAC